This 80-nucleotide transfer RNA is filed under the name Auricularia heimuer. Its description in RNAcentral is "tRNA-Ser". Lineage: Eukaryota; Fungi; Basidiomycota; Agaricomycetes; Auriculariales; Auriculariaceae. The record is from RNAcentral.
GGAAUAGUCUACAUUGGUAAGUUAAGACAAUUGCUAAUUGUUCGGGGCAACCUAUAGGUGUUCGAGUCACCUCUAUUCCG